GGGAAAGGGAAACCUUUCUUCAACCCUAGUUCAUCAAAAAUCUAAGAAUUGGAUGUGCUUAUGGGUCAAAUUCGAAUGCAUGUGAUGAAAUUUCCAACCAUCUAACAGUUUCCUACAUAGGGAGUGAAAGAAGAAGGAGCUAGUUCCGGUUCACAAACAAAGGCUCAAGAUCGAGGUAAAGCACAAGUAUAAAUGUCAUUGCGUCACUCGGAUACGAACACACCUUGAUCACCCGUGAUGCGCUUCCGCAACUUUUGUAGUAACUU
Long non-coding RNA from Helianthus annuus (common sunflower), 266 nucleotides. RefSeq lists it as uncharacterized. The transcript has 3 exons. NCBI's taxonomy places the organism in Eukaryota, Viridiplantae, Streptophyta, Magnoliopsida, Asterales, Asteraceae. The record is from RefSeq and is a predicted model, not a curated record.